Molecule: ribosomal RNA, 538 nt
Filed under: uncultured Gammaproteobacteria bacterium
Lineage: Bacteria; Pseudomonadati; Pseudomonadota; Gammaproteobacteria
Description: bacterial SSU rRNA
Rfam family: Bacterial small subunit ribosomal RNA
Source: RNAcentral
GCCCUUAGAGUUUGAUCCUGGCUCAGAUUGAACGCUAGCGGCAUGCCUAACACAUGCAAGUCGAACGGCAGCGCGGGGAGCUUGCUCCCUGGCGGCGAGUGGCGGACGGGUGAGUAACACGUAGGAAUCUGCCUUAUAGUGGGGGACAACCCGGGGAAACUCGGGCUAAUACCGCAUAAUCUCUACGGAGCAAAGUGGGGGAUCUUUUGACCUCACGCUAUAAGAUGAGCCUGCGUCGGAUUAGCUUGUUGGUGGGGUAAAGGCCUACCAAGGCGACGAUCCGUAGCUGGUCUGAGAGGACGAUCAGCCACACUGGGACUGAGACACGGCCCAGACUCCUACGGGAGGCAGCAGUGGGGAAUAUUGGACAAUGGGGGCAACCCUGAUCCAGCAAUGCCGCGUGUGUGAAGAAGGCCUUCGGGUUGUAAAGCACUUUCAGUAGGGAAGAAAGGCUCAAGGUUAAUACCCUUGGGAGUUGACGUUACCUACAGAAGAAGCACUGGCUAACUCUGUGCCAGCAGCCGCGGUAAUAAGGGCG